Molecule: ribosomal RNA, 253 nt
Filed under: uncultured bacterium
Lineage: Bacteria
Description: partial 16S ribosomal RNA
Rfam family: Bacterial small subunit ribosomal RNA
Source: RNAcentral
UACGAAGGGGGCUAGCGUUGUUCGGAAUUACUGGGCGUAAAGCGCACGUAGGCGGACUACUAAGAGAGAUGUGAAAUCCCCGGGCUUAACCUGGGAACUGCGUUUCUAACUGGCAGGCUAGAGUGUGGCAGAGGGGGGUGGAAUUCCACGUGUAGCAGUGAAAUGCGUAGAGAUGUGGAGGAACACCGGUGGCGAAGGCGGCAUCCUGGACUACUACUGACGCUGAGGAGCGAAAGCCAGGGGAGCAAACGGG